Molecule: ribosomal RNA, 369 nt
Filed under: uncultured bacterium
Lineage: Bacteria
Description: bacterial SSU rRNA
Rfam family: Bacterial small subunit ribosomal RNA
Source: RNAcentral
GUAGGUUGCAAGCGUUAAUCGGAAUUACUGGGCGUAAAGCGUGCGCAGGCGGUUUUGUAAGUCUGAUGUGAAAUCCCCGGGCUCAACCUGGGAACUGCAUUGGAGACUGCAAGGCUAGAAUCUGGCGGAGGGGGGUAGAAUUCCACGUGUAGCAGUGAAAUGCGUAGAUAUGUGGAGGAACACCGUUGGCGAAGGCAGCCCCCUGGGUCAAGAUUGACGCUCAUGCACGAAAGCGUGGGGAGCAAACAGGAUUAGAUACCCUGGUAGUCCACGCCCUAAGCGAUGUCUACUAGUUGUCGGGUCUUAAUUGACUUGGUAACGCAGCUAACGCGUGAAGUAGACCGCCUGGGGAGUACGGUCGCAAGAUUA